Cannabis sativa is the source of this 725-nucleotide long non-coding RNA. RefSeq lists it as uncharacterized. NCBI's taxonomy places the organism in Eukaryota, Viridiplantae, Streptophyta, Magnoliopsida, Rosales, Cannabaceae. The transcript is spliced from 4 exons. The record is from RefSeq and is a predicted model, not a curated record.
AUGGGCUUCAAAGUGAAAAGACCCUAACCAAAACCCUAUCAAUUGAUUUUUUGUUUUCUGUCGCUCCCUUUCUCUUGAAACCUCUCUAUUAUUCCCCUCUCACAGACACAGAGCUUUCCAAACCCUAAGCUCGCAUGAAACCUGAACCAAAAAAAAAAGAAAAAAAAUCCUCUCUCUCCAUCUGAAAUUAGCUUCCUAGUCCCUCUCUCUCUUCCUCAAGUCCAUUCAGCUCAUUUUGAAGAUGUUCUUUCAGGAAAGAUGAGUUCGCUCGUAAAGAUGUUUGGUUCAAUUUUCCUUUUUUGGUCUCAAGAAGUCUCAAAAUUCUCUAAACCUGAUAUUAUAUCAAGUAUGUCAUUGUAUAAGCAGUUCUGAGUAAUGUGGCAAGAGAAGUGCUUGGUUUUCACUAUAGUAGCAAACCUAGCAUUAUUAAGCGAAGGGGCAAUCGAUUAAGUUGAUCAAGCACUGCGAGGUUGAUGACCUAUCCCAAUAUUGUAAGGAAGAACAUCUCUUAUCGCUUCGACAAUAGUGGUUUAAGUCAAUUGUUUCCUUUGAUUUAUAAAUAAUCAGUAGUAUUCUAUUGUAUUUCUUUUAGACAUUUUGUUUAGUAUUUUAGAUAUUUGUACACAAUGUAAAGUAUUGGUUAUUAAUUCAAGUUACUAUUGGUUUUAAAAAUUAUAUUAAUCAUUUAUUUUUUAGUUAACUCUUUAUAUACGUAUUCCAUAUAA